UACGGAGGGGGCUAGCGUUGUUCGGAAUUACUGGGCGUAAAGCGCACGUAGGCGGUUAUUCAAGUCAGAGGUGAAAGCCCGGAGCUCAACUCCGGAAUUGCCUUUGAAACUAGAUAACUUGAACGUCGGAGAGGUGAGUGGAAUUCCGAGUGUAGAGGUGAAAUUCGUAGAUAUUCGGAAGAACACCAGUGGCGAAGGCGGCUCACUGGACGACUGUUGACGCUGAGGUGCGAAAGCGUGGGGAGCAAACAGG
This 253-nucleotide ribosomal RNA is filed under the name uncultured bacterium. Its description in RNAcentral is "partial 16S ribosomal RNA". It matches the Rfam family "Bacterial small subunit ribosomal RNA", at positions 524 to 776 of the family's 1533-position model. The record is from RNAcentral.